UGCCAGCCGCCGCGGUAAUACGGAGGGUCCAAGCGUUAUCCGGAUUUAUUGGGUUUAAAGGGUACGUAGGCGGAUUAGUAAGUUAGGGGUGAAAUCCCGGGGCUCAACCCCGGAACUGCCUCUAAUACUGCUAGUCUUGAGUUCGAGAGAGGUGAGUGGAAUUCCGAGUGUAGAGGUGAGAUUCGUAGAUAUUCGGAGGAACACCAGUGGCGAAGGCGGCUCACUGGCUCGAUACUGACGCUGAGGUGCGAAAGCGUGGGGAGCAAACAGGAUUAGAUA
Molecule: ribosomal RNA, 279 nt
Filed under: uncultured bacterium
Lineage: Bacteria
Description: partial 16S ribosomal RNA
Rfam family: Bacterial small subunit ribosomal RNA
Source: RNAcentral